UCCGAGUUGUCCCCGGCAGUCUCCUAUGAGUCCCCACCAUAACGUGCUGGCAACAUAAGAUAAGGGUUGCGCUCGUUGCGGGACUUAACCCAACAUCUCACGACACGAGCUGACGACAGCCAUGCACCACCUGCACACAGGCCACAAGGGAAUGCCUAUCUCUAGACACGUCCUGUGCAUGUCAAACCCAGGUAAGGUUCUUCGCGUUGCAUCGAAUUAAUCCACAUGCUCCGCCGCUUGUGCGGGCCCCCGUCAAUUUCUUUGAGUUUUAGCCUUGCGGCCGUACUCCCCAGGCGGGGUACUUAAUGCGUUAGCUACGGCACGGAUCCCAAGGAAGGAAACCCACACCUAGUGCCCAACGUUUACGGCGUGGACUAC
This 378-nucleotide unclassified non-coding RNA is filed under the name uncultured Mycobacteriaceae bacterium. RNAcentral describes it as "contains 16S-23S intergenic spacer region". Lineage: Bacteria; Bacillati; Actinomycetota; Actinomycetes; Mycobacteriales; Mycobacteriaceae. The record is from RNAcentral.